UAGGGAAUCUUCCGCAAUGGACGAAAGUCUGACGGAGCAACGCCGCGUGAGUGAAGAAGGAUUUCGGUUCGUAAAACUCUGUUGUUAGGGAAGAAAAAAUGUAUAGUAACUAUAUACAAAAGAGACGGUACCUAACCAGAAAGCCACGGCUAACUACGUGCCAGCAGCCGCGGUAAUACGUAGGUGGCAAGCGUUGUCCGGAAUUAUUGGGCGUAAAGCGCGCGCAGGUGGUUUAGAAAGUCUGAUGUGAAAGCCCACGGCUCAACCGUGGAGGGUCAUUGGAAACUAAUAAACUUGAGUGCAGGAGAGAAAAGUGGAAUUCCUAGUGUAGCGGUGAAAUGCAUAGAGAUUAGGAGGAACACCGGUGGCGAAAGCGGCUUUUUGGCCUGCAACUGACACUGAGGCGCGAAAGCGUGGGGAGCAAACAGG
This 429-nucleotide ribosomal RNA is filed under the name Verrucomicrobiota bacterium. RNAcentral describes it as "Verrucomicrobia bacterium partial 16S ribosomal RNA". It matches the Rfam family "Bacterial small subunit ribosomal RNA", at positions 355 to 776 of the family's 1533-position model. The record is from RNAcentral. Lineage: Bacteria; Pseudomonadati; Verrucomicrobiota.